Long non-coding RNA from Lathyrus oleraceus (garden pea), 1035 nucleotides. RefSeq lists it as uncharacterized. The transcript has 4 exons. The record is from RefSeq and is a predicted model, not a curated record. NCBI's taxonomy places the organism in Eukaryota, Viridiplantae, Streptophyta, Magnoliopsida, Fabales, Fabaceae.
GUGGUCUUGUGUUAGCAUUCUGUUGGGAAGGAAGAUAUUGUGGGUUCACAGCAGAACCUGUUAACCCCUGUCCUCUGUAGGCAAGAUUUUGAGUAGACGUGGGUGCGGCAUUCACACCCAUGAUUAUGCACGGCACUUUGUUAGUGCAUGAACUCGCAUUCUCGGACUUGAGGCAACACCAGAAGAGGUUGAGGAUCAAGAGAAACUGGCUCGAGUUGAAGAAAGAUUUAAAGGCAGAAAGGAACGGCUUCGGCAACACAAAAUCAGAAAUUGCAAUUACAUCCAAUUUUGGCAAGGUGUAAGGAGUGUCGAAGUGAUCCUUGUAUAGUCCCAAAGUUUCCACAGCAACAUCAAGUGCAAAUUCCCCUUGGUUUGCCUUGCAGACUUGACAAUACACUCGGACUUUGACCCCGUCGGGAGUAUGAUCUUCCACGUUAUCAAACAAACCAACGACGACAGCAACCAAAUAUGUUGACAUGAUUGGUGAUUCUUGAUACGAAACAGUUUUGAGAUUGUCAUUAAUUUUUCUUCAGCAACUGGUAUGUUGGAAAGAGCAACAGGGUCGGAAGGCACAUCCAAUGUAAUCUUGAAAGUGGCCUUGCAAGCAGGUUCAUCCCAACAAGGAAAGCAUCGUCUGGCAUCCGCUGGUUCAAACUGUGCAACCGCCAUAUUCCUCUUCUCACCAUUAUGCUUGUAUUGGCUUCUGUAAAAACCUUUCGUCCCAUCAUUCAAUAUUCCUUCAAACUGAAUAUUCAAUACACCCAAUCCAAAAGGUACUAAUGGAUGCAGGACUAAUCCAUAGCCAUUUCCUGCAGGAUAAUGAUGGUGUGAUGCUGUUGCAAAGCAAGAUGACAUAAGCUGCGACAACAAUAGUGGUUAAACUGUCAUGGAGUUCCUUGACCAACGGUUAGGGAAUUGGGUGGUGGAAGUGAACCUGACAUGGGCAAUGCUACUUGUGAAUGAGGGAAACAUGAUGGAAGCAAGCUAACGUGCACCUUGGAGGAUAAAUCAUGACUCAUGGGGAAUUCUUUUGGA